This 253-nucleotide ribosomal RNA is filed under the name uncultured bacterium. RNAcentral describes it as "partial 16S ribosomal RNA". It matches the Rfam family "Bacterial small subunit ribosomal RNA", at positions 524 to 776 of the family's 1533-position model. The record is from RNAcentral.
UACGUAGGGUGCAAGCGUUGUCCGGAAUUAUUGGGCGUAAAGAGCUCGUAGGCGGUUUGUCGCGUCUGCUGUGAAAACUCGGGGCUUAACCCCGGGCCUGCAGUCGAUACGGGCAGGCUAGAGUUCGGCAGGGGAGACUGGAAUUCCUGGUGUAGCGGUGAAAUGCGCAGAUAUCAGGAGGAACACCGGUGGCGAAGGCGGGUCUCUGGGCCGAUACUGACACUGAGGAGCGAAAGCGUGGGGAGCGAACAGG